This 253-nucleotide ribosomal RNA is filed under the name uncultured bacterium. RNAcentral describes it as "partial 16S ribosomal RNA". It matches the Rfam family "Bacterial small subunit ribosomal RNA", at positions 524 to 776 of the family's 1533-position model. The record is from RNAcentral.
UACAGAGGUCUCAAGCGUUGUUCGGAUUCAUUGGGCGUAAAGGGUGCGUAGGCGGCGCGGUAAGUCGGGUGUGAAAUCUCGGAGCUUAACUCCGAAACUGCAUUCGAUACUGCCGUGCUUGAGGACUGGAGAGGAGGCUGGAAUUUACGGUGUAGCGGUGAAAUGCGUAGAUAUCGUAAGGAAGACCAGUGGCGAAGGCGGGUCACUGGACCGGUUCUGACGCUGAUGCGCGAAAGCGUGGGGAGCAAACGGG